Long non-coding RNA from Mustela erminea (ermine), 97 nucleotides. RefSeq lists it as uncharacterized. The record is from RefSeq and is a predicted model, not a curated record. The transcript has 3 exons. NCBI's taxonomy places the organism in Eukaryota, Metazoa, Chordata, Mammalia, Carnivora, Mustelidae.
CUCAAUAAGUACCAAAAAACUGAGAUUAUACCAUGUAUAUUUUCAGAGCACAAUGCUUUAAAACGAACUCAAUCACAAGGAAAAGUUCCGAAGGAAC